GGAAGAGUAUCGAAGUGGUCAUAACGGCCCUGACUCGAAAUCAGGUAGCCCUAACGGGCUCGAGGGUUCGAAUCCCUCCUCUUCCG
RNAcentral lists this transfer RNA (86 nucleotides) under Ruminococcus sp. RNAcentral's name for it is "tRNA-Ser". It matches the Rfam family "tRNA". Rfam says of the family: Transfer RNA (tRNA) molecules are approximately 80 nucleotides in length. The record is from RNAcentral. Lineage: Bacteria; Bacillati; Bacillota; Clostridia; Eubacteriales; Oscillospiraceae.